RNAcentral lists this long non-coding RNA (1213 nucleotides) under Cyanistes caeruleus (blue tit). RNAcentral's name for it is "lncRNA (ENSCCEG00000018652.1)". Lineage: Eukaryota; Metazoa; Chordata; Aves; Passeriformes; Paridae. The record is from RNAcentral.
UCCUGCUUGUAAAUAUUAAUCUCAGAUGCUUUGAAGGAUUCAUUCCCAUGAGGAAAGAGUUCUUGUCAUCCAAAAAGAAGCCGGUCUUCAGGGCCAGAGCAGCAGAAGUACUGGUGUGGCAGUGUUGAAGUGAUAUCUAUUAUUCUCAUUGCCACUUCAUCUUGGAUUUGUGUCAUGAGUUUGAUAGAACUGCACUUGUGUUGAUUUGAGGGGGAAGGGAAUGAAGAAGGCUUUACUCCCACCAGUGGCUCCAAGCUUUAAUGAGUUUUGCCCUCCUUAAGAGCUGAUGUGGUUUGGGGUUUAGUUGUGGUUUCAGACCAGUCUGCAGUUUGUUCUUGUGCCUCUGAUACAAGUGCCUCAAUUCAAUGGUCAGUGAUGUAACUGCUGCUCACUAGAAAAAUGAAAUUUUAUCCUUAACUCUGCUUUGCUGUUAGACAGACAAAAGUGAAGCUCAAAAGUCCAACUCUGCACCCAACUCAAUAGAAAUGCAGUCCCUGCCAAAAUAGUAUUGCAGAUGGAUUUUCAAAACGAAAUGUAAAUGAAAAAGUUUUCCUACCCAGAAAGAAAGAAGAUAAAAUUAGGCAAUGUUUCUCCUCUCCCUGAAGAUGCUGUGUUUGUUAGUCCUUUGACAUUGGAAAUCAGUACUGAUAUUUCCUAAAUGUGAUCCACUUGCUAAUGAAGAGAACCUCUACAAUACAAAACAGUGGUUACUAGGUGUCAUAGAAAUGUGGCAGAUUUUUAGAGCUACCUGACUUCAUUCUCUUGAAGCACAUCAGCUUGUAUGUAGAAUCAUUGAGUCCCAGAGUGACUGACUGAGAGUUUGGGGGUCUGUGUUUGACAUUCACCACGUGCUUGGUGUAACAGUACAAGUGUGCUUUCUGGAAUAGAAACAUAUCAGAAUGUUCUCUUAGAGUACACUCCUAGAAAAAUAGUCUGAUUUUUCCGUUAGAAAAUACGUAGCCAUAGUCUCCUUGGACCAAUGCCAGCGCUACAAGGAUGACUUCAGUGCAGAGUAUGAGGAAUACCAAAAUUUAUAUACUCGGAUUGACAAGAUCAGAGAGCACUUCACACAGCUUCAGGAACAAUGGAAGUCUGUGACCGCAGGCUCUGAAGCCCAUCAGAUGCUGCUUCAUCGAAUCCUAGCAGAUUAUCAGCAGAUACAACAGGUAUGUUUGACACCAGAUCUGCAGAGCUUGGUUACUGCUGAGUCAGG